UCCGCUCGGUGGCGAACGCUCCGUCGUUGGAUAGGGCUAUCCUUCCAUUCCCUCUCCUGCAUCUCUCGCAUUUAAGUUUCUCCUCGGAGAUCUCUUUUCCUUGGCUGUCGCGGAUUUUCUUUUUCUCUCUUUCGUAUCAAACACAUCUCAGUUAGUAUUCCUGCCAUCUUUGUUUUCGUCCUUUCGUUGUUUGCAACUGGUACAAAUAAUAUAGUGCAGUGAGAAUAAAAAUUGAUGAGCGCGUUAAAGUUAGGUUUUUUCUCUUUUCUUGGUGUUCUAUAAAGUUUCUUUGUCUUAUCCUUUCGUUUGAUGGCUUUGAGCUAUGGUUUUGCCCAUUGUCUUUGGUGGGCUCUGGAAUCGAGAUACUCUAUUUGUGGGAAAUGCGUGCUUUUCUUAAUCCUGCUUUAUUGCUUCAUGAUAUUAAUGGAAAAUUAGUUUUUGUUCGUCAAUCUGACUAUAGUGCUUGUUCUGACGAAUUUUAGCUUGAACUCAGUGAUAUCAAUUACUUGAUUAUAUUGCGACUAGGAGCUUUGGCUACUUUGUGGCGAAGGAUGGCGCCUGUGGUGGAAAAAAGGGAGCACAAACGACGGGACACAUCUGAUAGGUCUAGUUCUCCUAUUAGAUAUCAACGUUCCCCAUCUAGGAGGUCAUCCCACGGUCACAUCUGAUAGGAAGGAAUCAGGCCUGAAGGAGCUGAACAUGCUUGGUUCAACCAGUGAACAGAGACUGUGAUCUGUGAUCACCAAAAGAAGCUCCACUUGCCAUCAAUCAUGAAAAGCCAAACCUUUUUUCUUUGCCAAGAUAAGAGUACUGAGCGAGAUGAGAUGCAUAUUCUGAGACGAUGAGAGCAAGAACGCACACGAUGCCGGAGAGGAGGAAGAGGCCCCAGAAGCUACUGAGACUUAGCCGGUUGGCUUCUAGGUCGGUAUCUUGCGAAGAACAUUCAGUUCGCGAUAGCCACUUGUCAUGGAUUCUUUGGAGAUCACCGUUCUCGGACAGUGUCAGGAUUGCAGUAGACAAGUCAACUGCAAGAGGAGAGUCUCUCUGGAAUGCCUGUGUUCGAUGAUGAAGUUCCAAGUCCAUGUUAGAUGUUUACAGACAGCGAAGACAAUCAAUACAGCAGAGAGAUUUUGGCAGCAGAAAAUUAAGCUAACAUGACGAAUUGUGAGUAGAAAUCUACAAAAUGAGUCCCUAAGAUGAGAUGCAGUUUGCAAGUUCGUCACUUGGAGAUGUCAUGUUUAUAUUCUGAUAUGAGAAUGGUGAACAUUUAUUUGCAGCUCAACUCGAAGAAUUCAUAUGAUCAGAAUUGUAAC
Long non-coding RNA from Musa acuminata AAA Group (dessert banana), 1313 nucleotides. RefSeq lists it as uncharacterized. The record is from RefSeq and is a predicted model, not a curated record. The transcript is spliced from 4 exons. Lineage: Eukaryota; Viridiplantae; Streptophyta; Magnoliopsida; Zingiberales; Musaceae.